UUCUCUCCUCUUCUUAGCGUUUCUGUUGCAAGAAUAUGUACAAGAUUGUUUGCAGAUCUUGGUGUAUGUUGAAAUUUGAUAUUAUUUAGUCCAUGUAUUUUCUGUUGGAUGUCAUAAAUGUAUGUCCCUACCAUUGAUCGAUCUUAACCUUUUAUGCUACAUUUCUUGAUUAUUGCGAGGGAAUCUCCUUCAAAAUGAGUGAUUGCCAUCCCUUUUCGAUUCCUACUUGGAUUGCUUUCCAACAGGCUAUGGCUUCAGCAACAAAAGCAGAUGAUACGUCAUUGUGGAUUUCUAAACAGGAUAAAAGGACUUUUCCUUCCGAAUCUCUGGCCACAAUACCUGAAGCUGACCGGUUCUGGCUCUCCUUAUAUGCACCGUCAAAAUUGAUCUUGAUAAACUCCCACUGUGGUGCACAACAGAAAAAUCAACCUUGACAAGGGUUGAGCUGCUCUAUCACCCAGGGCAUUCUCGAAAUAAAUGGUUUAUUGUUUCAUCUCUUUUUCCACAUCGAGGACAACUUACAUUGACUGCUAGCUUCCUGUGUUGCAAAUUUACCUUCGUAGGCAGAUAGUUCCAUGACAGUCUCCAUAUUGUAACUUUUACUUUAUUUGGUAGAUUCAGGCUCCAAAGUUGUUUAUAAUUUUUUUUGUAGAUGGUUUGUAAAGCAUAAGCUCUAGGAUUUUCAUCUGAUCUCUGUAAUAGUUUAUAAGCACUUCGGACCGUGAAUUCACCCGACAUCUCACUUCCCCAAAUAAGAAAAUCUUCAUGAGGUGUUCAUGCCAGAGGGAUUCGGAGGAUUCUUGCAGUGUCUUAUUCUG
Long non-coding RNA from Gossypium raimondii (Peruvian cotton), 818 nucleotides. RefSeq lists it as uncharacterized. The record is from RefSeq and is a predicted model, not a curated record. The transcript has 3 exons. NCBI's taxonomy places the organism in Eukaryota, Viridiplantae, Streptophyta, Magnoliopsida, Malvales, Malvaceae.